GUCUACGGCCAUGCUACCCUGAACAUGCCCAAUUCCAUCUGAUUUCAGAAGCUAAGCAGGGUUGGGCCUGGUUAGUACUUAGAUGAGAAACCACCUAGGAAGACUGGGUGCUGUAGGUG
This 119-nucleotide ribosomal RNA is filed under the name Pteropus alecto (black flying fox). Lineage: Eukaryota; Metazoa; Chordata; Mammalia; Chiroptera; Pteropodidae. The record is from RNAcentral.